AUAUUGGACAAUGGGCGGAAGCCUGAUCCAGCAACGCCGCCUGAGGGAUUACGGCCGUCGGGUUGUAAACCUCUUUCAGUUCCGACGACGCGGAAGUGACGGUAUGAGCAGAAGAAGCACCGGCCAACUACGUUCCAGGAGGCGCGGUAAAACGUAGGGUGCGAGCGUUGUCCGGAAUUAUUGGGCGUAAAGGGCUCGUAGGUGGUUUGUCGUGUCGGGAGUAAAAACUCAGGGCUUAACUCUGAGCUUGCUUCCGAUACGGGCAGACUAGAGGUAUGCAGGGGAGAAUGGAAUUCCUGGUGUAGCGGUGAAAUGCGCAGAUAUCAGGAGGAACACCGAUGGCGAAGGCAGGUCUCUGGGCCGCAACUGACGCUGAGGAGCGAAAGCAUGGGGAGCGAACA
RNAcentral lists this ribosomal RNA (401 nucleotides) under uncultured bacterium. RNAcentral describes it as "partial 16S ribosomal RNA". It matches the Rfam family "Bacterial small subunit ribosomal RNA", at positions 361 to 774 of the family's 1533-position model. The record is from RNAcentral.